UCUGUCCCUCAUGGGGCGGGGUUAAAAGCUCCGGCGGUGAAGGAUGAGCCCGCGGCCUAUCAGCUUGUUGGUGGGGUAAUGGCCUACCAAGGCGACGACGGGUAGCCGGCCUGAGAGGGCGACCGGCCACACUGGGACUGAGACACGGCCCAGACUCCUACGGGAGGCAGCAGUGGGGAAUAUUGCACAAUGGGCGAAAGCCUGAUGCAGCGACGCCGCGUGAGGGAUGACGGCCUUCGGGUUGUAAACCUCUUUCAGCAGGGAAGAAGCGAAAGUGACGGUACCUGCAGAAGAAGCGCCGGCUAACUACGUGCCAGCAGCCGCGGUAAUACGUAGGGCGCAAGCGUUGUCCGGAAUUAUUGGGCGUAAAGAGCUCGUAGGCGGCUUGUCACGUCGGAUGUGAAAGCUCGGGGCUUAACCCCGAGUCUGCAUUCGAUACGGGCUAGCUAGAGUGUGGUAGGGGAGAUCGGAAUUCCUGGUGUAGCGGUGAAAUGCGCAGAUAUCAGGAGGAACACCGGUGGCGAAGGCGGAUCUCUGGGCCAUUACUGACGCUGAGGAGCGAAAGCGUGGGGAGCGAACAGGAUUAGAUACCCUGGUAGUCCACGCCGUAAACGUUGGGAACUAGGUGUUGGCGACAUUCCACGUCGUCGGUGCCGCAGCUAACGCAUUAAG
This 672-nucleotide ribosomal RNA is filed under the name Streptomyces sp. RNAcentral describes it as "bacterial SSU rRNA". It matches the Rfam family "Bacterial small subunit ribosomal RNA", at positions 180 to 864 of the family's 1533-position model. Lineage: Bacteria; Bacillati; Actinomycetota; Actinomycetes; Kitasatosporales; Streptomycetaceae. The record is from RNAcentral.